Molecule: ribosomal RNA, 162 nt
Filed under: Portulaca bicolor
Lineage: Eukaryota; Viridiplantae; Streptophyta; Magnoliopsida; Caryophyllales; Portulacaceae
Description: 5.8S ribosomal RNA
Rfam family: 5.8S ribosomal RNA
About the family: 5.8S ribosomal RNA (5.8S rRNA) is a component of the large subunit of the eukaryotic ribosome. It is transcribed by RNA polymerase I as part of the 45S precursor that also contains 18S and 28S rRNA.
Source: RNAcentral
AACGACUCUCGGCAACGGAUAUCUUGGCUCUCGCAUCGAUGAAGAACGUAGCGAAAUGCGAUACUUGGUGUGAAUUGCAGAAUCCCGUGAACCAUCGAGUCUUUGAACGCAAGUUGCACCCGAAGCCUUCUGGCCAAGGGCACGUCUGCCUGGGCGUCACGC